UAGCAUCCAGUGCAAAGGGUUCUAAGGUGAAGGAUGCAGCAAUAGCUCAAGCAUUAAGUUAUGCAGAUAUCCCUAACUCCCAAAUAAGAAAAGUCACUUCUUCACGCUUAUUGCUCUCUAAACAGACUCUUCCUCAUUACUAUUUAACUGUGGACACUUGGGUAGACAAACAUAUGCAGAGGAAGAGAAAAGAGUGAAAGAAGUGGGGCAAAAACUUUCGGAGUGUUCAAAGAACAAGGUUUUGGGCUCAUAUCGUGAUGGCUAAUGAAUUCCUCUUUUGUUGCUGCGGAUAGGGUUUAUCAUACGAGCACUUCUAAAUCCCCAGUUGAAAUUUCUUUACAUCAAGGAUACUUCUCUUCUCACAUGCUAUUAAGUUUGCAACUCUUUGUAUUUUUUCUUAUUAACAUUUCUCUUGGUAUAUCAAAGACCAAAUUGACUAUGUAAUUGUCAGUUGUACCUGCAUUUGAGAAGAUAAUGGAAUUGUUACUUAUUUGCUCU
Molecule: long non-coding RNA, 498 nt
Organism: Asparagus officinalis (garden asparagus)
Lineage: Eukaryota; Viridiplantae; Streptophyta; Magnoliopsida; Asparagales; Asparagaceae
Exons: 4
Source: RefSeq, a predicted model, not a curated record